CGACCAAGGUUCGACUCGAGCGCCAGCGAGAGAGCGUUGCCGCAGGCAACGACCCGAAGGGCGAAGCGCGCAGCGCUGAGUAAUCCUUCCCCCACCACCA
RNAcentral lists this small RNA (100 nucleotides) under Escherichia coli. Its description in RNAcentral is "partial RtT sRNA". It matches the Rfam family "RtT RNA", at positions 33 to 130 of the family's 130-position model. Rfam says of the family: This family represents a bacterial cis-regulatory element known as RtT RNA. The exact function of RtT is unknown although it is thought that it may be involved in changing the cellular response in relation to amino acid starvation. The record is from RNAcentral. Lineage: Bacteria; Pseudomonadati; Pseudomonadota; Gammaproteobacteria; Enterobacterales; Enterobacteriaceae.